This 358-nucleotide long non-coding RNA is filed under the name Nicotiana benthamiana. Its description in RNAcentral is "long non-coding RNA (NBEN_LNC026601)". Lineage: Eukaryota; Viridiplantae; Streptophyta; Magnoliopsida; Solanales; Solanaceae. The record is from RNAcentral.
GUGAGGAUUGGUUUUCCACUUGAUAUGCAAGAACAAGUUUGUGCUCUCUCUCUCAAUGGGAGGAAGAAGAAGAGAAUGUCUUGCAUUCUUGUGGGAAAUAACCCCCCUUAUAAUAACAUGUGAGUUAUGGAACUCAAAUGUCACAAGAAUGUAACCUUAGUUAGCCCAUCAUUAACUAAGGUUACUCUUUUUGGUAUCUACACAUUACUCCUACACUUUAUAUGACAAUGUAUUGGCCCCCUUAACAAUAAUGUCCAUAAGACCACUAAUAUAGGCCAAACCAAAAGAUAGCACAUAACAUAUAAUUAAUCCAUAUAUUGUCCAUAUGUAUGUAGUAUAAGUCCAAAUGUCUAACAGA